UACGUAGGUGGCAAGCGUUGUCCGGAAUUACUGGGCGUAAAGGGCGUGUAGGCGGCUAUUUAAGUCAGGCGUGAAACCUUAGGGCUUAACCUUGAGACUGCGUUUGAAACUGGAUGGCUAGAGGAUCGGAGAGGGCAGUGGAAUUCCCAGUGUAGCGGUGAAAUGCGUAGAUAUUGGGAGGAACACCAGUGGCGAAGGCGGCUGCCUGGACGACACCUGACGCUGAGGCGCGAAAGCUAGGGGAGCAAACGGG
This 253-nucleotide ribosomal RNA is filed under the name uncultured bacterium. RNAcentral describes it as "partial 16S ribosomal RNA". It matches the Rfam family "Bacterial small subunit ribosomal RNA", at positions 524 to 776 of the family's 1533-position model. The record is from RNAcentral.